RNAcentral lists this ribosomal RNA (164 nucleotides) under Plantago eriopoda. Its description in RNAcentral is "5.8S ribosomal RNA". It matches the Rfam family "5.8S ribosomal RNA". From Rfam's summary of the family: 5.8S ribosomal RNA (5.8S rRNA) is a component of the large subunit of the eukaryotic ribosome. The record is from RNAcentral. Lineage: Eukaryota; Viridiplantae; Streptophyta; Magnoliopsida; Lamiales; Plantaginaceae.
UCUAAACGACUCUCGGCAACGGAUAUCUCGGCUCUUGCAUCGAUGAAGAACGUAGCGAAAUGCGAUACUUGGUGUGAAUUGCAGAAUCCCGUGAACCAUCGAGUCUUUGAACGCAAGUUGCGCCCGACGCCUUCGGGCUGAGGGCACGCCUGCCUGGGCGUCAC